RNAcentral lists this ribosomal RNA (460 nucleotides) under uncultured bacterium. RNAcentral's name for it is "partial 16S ribosomal RNA". It matches the Rfam family "Bacterial small subunit ribosomal RNA", at positions 338 to 795 of the family's 1533-position model. The record is from RNAcentral.
CCUACGGGGGGCUGCAGUGAGGAAUAUUGGUCAAUGGACGAGAGUCUGAACCAGCCAAGUAGCGUGAAGGAUGACUGCCCUAUGGGUUGUAAACUUCUUUUAUAAAGGAAUAAAACGAGGCACGUGUGCCUUUUUGCAUGUACUUUAUGAAUAAGGAUCGGCUAACUCCGUGCCAGCAGCCGCGGUAAUACGGAGGAUCCGAGCGUUAUCCGGAUUUAUUGGGUUUAAAGGGAGCGUAGAUGGGUUGUUAAGUCAGUUGUGAAAGGUUGCGGCUCAACCGUAAAAUUGCAAUUGAUACUGGCAGUCUUGAGUACAGUUGAGGUAGGCGGAAUGCGUGGUGUAGCGGUGAAAUGCUUAGAUAUCACGAAGAACCCCGAUUGCGAAGGCAGCUUACUAAACUGUGACUGACAUUGAUGCUCGAAAGUGUGGGUAUCAAACAGGAUUAGAUACCCGUGUAGUC